AUGUGUGACUACCCCCAGAAUUUAAGCAUAUUAAUAAGGGGAGGAAGAGAAACCAACCGGGAUUCCCUGAGUAGCUGCGAGCGAAACGGGAGAAGCCCAGCACGUAGGGACGACGUGGAGACGCGCCUGUCCGGUUCCGUGUAUUGGACCGGUCCGUUAUCUAUCAUGUACAGUGUGCAUCAAGUCUAACUUGAAGGUGGCUCAUUAUCCCAUAGAGGGUGAUAGGCCCGUUGCAUGCGCGCGCCUGUGCUGGUAGACGGUCGGCUCCAGGGAGUCGUGUUGCUUGAUAGUGCAGCACUAAGUGGGAGGUAAACUCCUUCUAAGGCUAAAUAUGACCAUGAGACCGAUAGCGAACAAGUACCGUGAGGGAAAGUUGAAAAGCACUCUGAAUAGAGAGUCAAAUAGUACGUGAAACUGCCUAGGGUACACAAACCCGUUGAACUCAAUGAUCCGGGCGGCGAUAUUCAGCGGCGGUCGCAAGGCCACCGUGCACUUAUCGUUCCGCAGCAAACGGACAUCGCGAUCCAUUACAAUAGCGAGUCGAGCGUUCUGCGCUGCGACCGUCCGGCAUUACUGGCCCCUGGCUCGUGGUGGACGGCUCCCUAGUAGGGGCGGCUUGACGGCCGCACCGAGCGGGGGUCUCCGCGCCUUUCUUCUGAAGGGCGACUGGGUCCGACCGAGCGUGGUGUGCCGCUGGAACCGUGAUGGAUCCGAGCGUGGGGCCGACCAAGGCUGCCCUCGUGGCCAGCCAAGCGUGCCCCCAGAUCGGCGAUGAGCAGCAUGCAUUGAGGCACCUCCGGGACCCGUCUUGAAACACGGACCAAGAAGUCUAUCUUGCACGCGAGCCAAUGGGACCGGUGCCACCUUCGGGUGGUGCCGCUCAAUCGAACACCCAUAGGCGAAGACAACUCGAAGACGCAUGUCACGGGAUUACGGGUUCGGCAUUGGCGCAAGCCUACGUCGGAUCCCUCCAUCCCAGGGUGCCCCGAUACGGGUGGGAGCGGGCCUCCGGGCGUCGUUCUACCCAGCGGGCAUACCCCGAGUGUGCAGGAUGCGACCCGAAAGAUGGUGAACUAUGCCUGAUCAGGUUGAAGUCAGGGGAAACCCUGAUGGAGGACCGAAGCAAUUCUGACGUGCAAAUCGAU
This 1145-nucleotide ribosomal RNA is filed under the name Anopheles subpictus. RNAcentral's name for it is "partial 28S ribosomal RNA". It matches the Rfam family "Eukaryotic large subunit ribosomal RNA", at positions 13 to 902 of the family's 3401-position model. Lineage: Eukaryota; Metazoa; Arthropoda; Insecta; Diptera; Culicidae. The record is from RNAcentral.